CAGUAACGGCGAGUGAAGCGGUAACAGCUCAAAUUUGAAAUCUGGCCUCACGGUCCGAGUUGUAAUUUGUAGAGGAUGCUUCGAGCAUGGUCUGGCCUAAGUUCCUUGGAACAGGACGUCAUAGAGGGUGAGAAUCCCGUAUGCGGCCAGGUGCCUACGCUCAUGUGAAGCUCCUUCGACGAGUCGAGUUGUUUGGGAAUGCAGCUCAAAAUGGGUGGUAAAUUUCAUCUAAAGCUAAAUAUUGGCCCAGAGACCGAUAGCGCACAAGUAGAGUGAUCGAAAGAUGAAAAGCACUUUGGAAAGAGAGUUAAACAGUACGUGAAAUUGUUGAAAGGGAAGCGCUUGCAACCAGACUUGCGCGCGGCCGAUCAUCCGGUGUUCUCACCGGUGCACUCGGCCGUGCUCAGGCCAGCAUCGGUUUUGGCGGCUGGAUAAAGGCCCUAGGAAUGUGGCUCCUCUCGGGGAGUGUUAUAGCCUAGGGUGCAAUGCAGCCUGCUGGGACCGAGGACCGCGCUUCGGCUAGGAUGCUGGCGUAAUGGUUGUAAGCGGCCCGUCUUGAAACACGGACCAAGGAGUCUAACAUCUAUGCGAGUGUUUGGGUGUCAAACCCAUACGCGUAAUGAAAGUGAACGGAGGUGAGAACCCUUAAGGGUGCAUCAUCGACCGGUCCUGAAGUUUACGGAAGGAUCUGAGUAAGAGCAUAGCUGUUGGGACCCGAAAGAUGGUGAACUAUGCCUGAAUAGGGUGAAGCCAGAGGAAACUCUGGUGGAGGCUCGCAGCGGUUCUGACGUGCAAAUCGAUCGUCAAAUUUGGGUAUAGGGGCGAAAGACUAAUCGAACCAUUGACCUGUAGGAACACUACUAGGUGGUUAAGAGGCGGCUAAAAGUGCCGUCUAGUCCCGACGCCGGGGCGACACUGUCAAAUUGCGGGAACAUCCUUAGAGCCUAGACUACCGCAGCCUUCCUGAAAGGGGGGUGCGCACCAGGGUAAUGACCUCGGGUAUGGUAAUAACGUCUAGGAUUGGACAAUCCGCAGCCAAGCCCUACGGACCUCGGUCUAUGGGUGCAGUUCAUCGACUAGAUGGCAGUGGGUGGCAGCAAUGCCGCUUAAGAUAUAGUCAGACCCCCGGGAGACCGGGCGGCAGAACGAAGACCGUGGGGGGCGUCCUCUCUGAGAGCCYCGCGGUCCMGAGUCUG
This 1196-nucleotide ribosomal RNA is filed under the name Pseudogymnoascus pannorum. Its description in RNAcentral is "LSU rRNA". It matches the Rfam family "Eukaryotic large subunit ribosomal RNA", at positions 81 to 1103 of the family's 3401-position model. Lineage: Eukaryota; Fungi; Ascomycota; Leotiomycetes; Thelebolales; Thelebolaceae. The record is from RNAcentral.